Zonotrichia leucophrys gambelii is the source of this 2850-nucleotide long non-coding RNA. RefSeq lists it as uncharacterized. The record is from RefSeq and is a predicted model, not a curated record. NCBI's taxonomy places the organism in Eukaryota, Metazoa, Chordata, Aves, Passeriformes, Passerellidae. The transcript has 3 exons.
AAGGGUCUCUAGCAUUAGUCUGAUCUGAAGCAGCUGAGGGAGUUGGUGGUGCAGAGCCUGGAAAAAGGAGGCUCACAAGGUUCCUUGUCACUCACUUCAACUGCCUGAGAGGGGAGUGUAUCCAGAUGGUCUCUUCUUCCAGGUAACAGCCUGAAGAUAAGAGGUAACGCCUCAAAUUGUGGCAGGAGAGAUUUAGGCUGGAUAUUGAGAAAAAUUUCAUAGCCAGAAAAGUUGCCAAGUGUUAGAAUAGGUUUACCAGGGAAGUGGUGGAGUCACUGUCCCUGGAUCUGAAGAUGUGCCAUUGAAGAACUUGGUUGAGUAAUGGAUUUGGCAGUGCUGGCUUAACAGUUGGAUUUGGUGAUCCUAAAGGUCUUUCCAUUCUUUGGCUCUAUGACUUAAAGACACAGUUUUGUCCUGAAAAGGCAACAAAAGGGUUUUUCAAUGAAAAUACAAGUGAAGAGAAUUACUUCUGCCUGAAGAUACUAUGUGCUUCACUUUAACUUAAUGUUUUGCUGUUACAAAUCAACAUGAGAAAGAAAGGCAAGAAGCAUCUGUUUGCUGUGACGUGGUUAAACAUCAUUUUCCUGUGAGAAGCUUUACCAUAAGUGGGAGCUGCCUCCAGAUAACUUCUGCAUGCUGACUACUCCUCUCUCAGAUACGACUUAUCUUUUCUAUAAUUCUGUACAAAGACUCCUGACAUGUAUCCUUUGGAAGUCUGUACAGAGGAAUGAAGGAAAAGCCCAGGUAUUCACUUUGGCUUUUGCUGAGAGACCUUCCCUUCUGUUUGAACCUCAUUUGAACAGCUGAGAAGACCAACUGCAAAAGUAGGUACUGUUUCAAUCAGAACCUCUGAUUUUAAAAUGUUUCACUUCUCGGAUAGAGAAACUCUAAGAAAGGAUAUCAUCAACACACGGGCAAGUUACAGCUUGGGAGACUUGCAGAGUUCUUUCACUUGUGCCUGAAAAAGGGCAGAGCAGCUAUGGACUGACAACCCACAGAAGAGCCUUCCCACAGGACUCAUAAAAAUGUGAUGGCUGGAAAAAAAGGACAGGAUCUGCCAGUGGAGAAGGAGGUCUGUGAACGUUUCAUCUGAAGAGGGUCCAUGUCAUCAAAUUGCUUUCUGGUUUACCCUCUUGAAAGAAUUUCACAGAGGAAGAGCACAGAACUUCAUGUGAUAAGAGUUAACCUAGCAAAGAACAAGGAUUUUUUGGUAUCAAGCCUGAGCUCCUUCAUUAGCAACUUGCUUUCUUUCCCAGACUGAAAAUGUACUAAGUUCCUUCCAAAUAAAUGAGUUUUUCUUGCAAAAACAUCAGCCUGCAUUCUAAAACCAUUGCCCUAACAAUGCUGCUUUGCAGGAUGCACAGCUCAAAUCUUGACAAUCUGAGAUGCUGACAGAAAUGCUAGGACUAAUGGAUGUGGGACGCGUCCAGGAUUAAUUUGCCCAGCUCAAGAUUCAGGGAAAGAUGCUGCUAAAUCCCAUUUGCAGUGUUGUGGUUCAAGGCUAAGGUAUCACAGGCGCUUUUGAAAGCUGAAUGUCAAUGUACCUGUAACUGCUAAGUGAUACUCCUAUAAUAUACUAUAAAAUCUGAAAGCCAUUGAUUUGGAGGAAGAAAAUGUCACCUGGAACUCAUUAUAAAUAUUACACUGCUGUGGAAAAAAGGGCUUCCUAAGCUCAUAUUCUGAGAGAACAGAAUGUUUUUGUGCUCUGUGCCAGCUUUGAUAGUGGAGCCCUGGAAAAAGUUAAAGAUAGAAUCUAAAAUGUUAAGCUUUGUACUUUCCCAGAUCAACUGCACCUGCGUAAGCAGUAUGAUAAAUUAUAUAAUUGUUGGAUGUGAUAAUUGUUUAGUAAUUAAAUAUAAUUAUUAUAUAACCAUGAGAAGAAUAAUGAGAAACUAUGUUGGAAAUUCAGAGAGGGGCUAAAUCUAUGUAUACAAUAGAACAACAUAAGUUUAAUAAUUAACAUGAAAGUUAUAUAACAAUAGAGUAUAAAAACAUGAUCAUUUUGGAUGUAUGCUCGGAGUCAGAUUUGGGUUGAAUAUACCCCUGGCACCCAGAGCUCUUUAAUAAAAAGCACCGCAUAUAAUCCCUCCGUGAUUAUGUGGUUUUGAACACCAACAGCUUGAGCUGGUAGGACUUGCCUCACUACAAAGCAAUUUCCAGUCACUGCCAGAGAAUAUUGUCAUUGUACACUACACUUCUGUCUGUUCUUCCCUCUGCUUGGCAUUUUUUUAUUUUGAGGAAAGGACAUGGAAUGAGAACAGACCUAGAUGUGGCACAUCUGUGUUUUGCAUUGUGGAAAUUCUCCACUGAGAGCAAAAACAAGACUGCAGCAUUUUGCAGCAGCUGAGAAAAAGAAUUUCUAAGUACUUGUUUCUGGACACAAACCUAGGUUCAUCAUAUCUUUCUUUAGCCUAAGACCAACGCGUAUUUUCUCACUUUCCAGUCAGAAAAAAUAGGUAUGUGAACAUAUGGAAAAUAUCCCAAAAUUCUGCCAAGCUAAGUGGUGAUUCCCUGUUCAAGCACUUCAGACUCAGAUUUGUCUCUUCCUCUGUAAUUCUGUAAUUAGAGAAUAUUUACAUCUUGUGACUUACAGUACUUUACAAAUGUUUGUUUACACAUAUACUUUUUCUUCCUUUCACAUAUUACCUUCUUUCAUUUAGGGCUAAACGAAUGAUUUCAAAACAAAAUAUUUGUUUUGCUCUAAUGUUAAAGUUCACAGUCUGUGAUAUUUACUUUCCAUAGUAUUUCUCUGAACUAUAAAAAUAACGGUGUUCUUAGUUUCUAUCAAAAAUAGCUAUUUUUGGGUUUUGUGACAUAAUUUUCUUUAAAGAGGACUAAAAAAUAAAGUUG